GUUCUCCUACGGGGGGCAGCAGUGGGGGAUAUUGCACAAUGGGCGCAAGCCUGAUGCAGCGACACCGCGUGAGCGAAGAAGUAUUUCGGUAUGUAAAGCUCUAUCAGCAGGGAAGAAAAUGACGGUACCUGACUAAGAAGCUCCGGCUAAAUACGUGCCAGCAGCCGCGGUAAUACGUAUGGAGCAAGCGUUAUCCGGAUUUACUGGGUGUAAAGGGAGCGUAAGCGGCCCUGUAAGUCUGAUGUGAAAAUUUGGGGCGCAACCCCAAACGUGCAUUGGAUACUGCAGGGCUUGAGUGCCGGAGG
This 305-nucleotide ribosomal RNA is filed under the name uncultured bacterium. RNAcentral's name for it is "bacterial SSU rRNA". It matches the Rfam family "Bacterial small subunit ribosomal RNA", at positions 333 to 655 of the family's 1533-position model. The record is from RNAcentral.